AUCCAACCCACAAACCCAAAGUACAUGACUCACGAACCCCCACACAAAUCCCCGAAAUCGAUUUCCCAAAAUCGAUCACCGAAACUCGUCGGAAAUCUCGAAAAUCACACCAGGACGCCGUCGGGACCCACUAAGUGUCCCGAAACUCACCGACUCGUGCCACGAGUCACCCGCUACCACAAAACACACCGAUUUGGACGUCUUGGCAGCAAACACACGAUUACACAACUAAACAAUUAUCGCCGGAUAAUUAUACGGAUCCGGGUUUCCAGAAGUAUCAAUUUCGAUACCGGAACCCACCAUCGCUCACCCGUCAUCUCCGAACCCACGAUAUGACGAUGGUGACCAGCCGACAAGGCUUAGCGACAACUCACAAGGCAAACAAACAACGUCGGAAGAAAUCCAAACCGAAACGCGUUCCACCGGCGAAUUUCAUCGAAAAACGCACUGAAAUCGCUAUUCGAUUUUCGCGAAAGCUAUCGGACCUU
RNAcentral lists this long non-coding RNA (488 nucleotides) under Ananas comosus (pineapple). Its description in RNAcentral is "long non-coding RNA (ACOM_LNC021048)". Lineage: Eukaryota; Viridiplantae; Streptophyta; Magnoliopsida; Poales; Bromeliaceae. The record is from RNAcentral.